CUACCUCUAGAGAACAUCACCUUACCCAGGAUGAUCCGUUCCGGCAGGCUGGAAGCAGUGCAGAGCACGCAGCAUGGGAAAGUUGUUGCCGUGUGCCGUCUCGCUCCUUCUCCUCGCUCUACUCUCAUCGUCGGAGUCGGUGGCCGCCUUCCCCUCCCUCCGCGUCCGGGGCUACGACUCCAUCUUCAGCUUCGGCGAUUCGUUCGCCGACACCGGCAACAACCCCGUCGUCUUCCGCUGGUACUCCGUCUUCAACCCCGUGACGCGGCCGCCAUACGGCUCCACCUUCUUCGGCCGCCCCACCGGCCGCAACUGCGACGGCCGCCUCAUCAUCGACUUCAUUGCUGAAAGCCUGGGCCUGCCGUUCCUCCCGCCUUUCCUGGCGCACGACGGGGGCUUCCGCCGCGGCGCCAACUUCGCCGUCGGGGGCGCCACUGCCCUCGACGUCGGCUUCUUCCACGACGGGGAGCCCGCCGGCCCCGGCGCCAGCCAGUUCCCUUUGAACACCAGCUUCAGCGUGCAGCUGCAGUGGUUCGAGUCGCUGAAGCCCUCCCUCUGCGGCACCACCCAAGAGUGCAGGGAGUUGUUCGGGAGAUCGCUCUUCGUCGUGGGCGAAUUCGGGUUCAACGACUACAGCUUCUCCUUGGGAGGGAAGAGCAUUCAACAAGUCAGAUCGUUCGUUCCAGAUGUCAUCAGGACCAUCUCCAUGGCCAUCGAGAGGCUGAUCAAGCACGGGGCGACCAGGCUGGUGGUUGCCGGGAUGAUUCCGGCAGGAUGCUCGCCGCCGAUUCUCGUCAUGUUCGCCGACGCCGACCCGGCAGGCUAUGACCCCCGGACAGGGUGCCUGAAAGAUAUGAACGAGCUGGCCAUUCAUCACAACUCGUUGCUCCGGGAGGCCUUGCACGACCUCCGGGCCGAGCACCCGGACGUCGAGAUCAUCUACGCCGAUUUCUUCAACCCCAUCAUGGAGAUGGUGGAGUCGCCCGGCAAGUUUGGGUUUGAAGGAGAUGCUUUUACAAUUUGUUGUGGAGGACCCGGGAGGUACCAUUACAACCAAGAAGUUUGGUGCGGCGAUCCAGGUGCGACCACAUGCAAGGAUCCAUCUGCUCGUUUGUUCUGGGAUGGAGUCCACCUGACAGAGGCAGCUAAUCGGUACAUCGCCGACGACUGGCUGAGUAGCAUAAACUCGCCUGCUAGUGCUAGCAAUCUAUAAGGUUUCUGCAACCAUCCUCCAGACUAAUUUCUGGUAAACAUGAACAGUUCUGGUAAUAGAAGGAAGAGCCGCUGCGAGAAACAAAACAGGCAAAAAUGCCUGUCUAUCUUUAUCUAUUCUGUAACUGAACAUGAGACGGCCAGAUGCCUCGCGGCAGCACAUGGGCCUGCUCCCUCCCGUGCAACAUGUUUGCAUGCAUGUUUGCCUUUUUUAUUCAAUUCUCUGCACUUGGCCAGCCACCACAUGCAUGCAUCUUUUUUUAUCCGGUAGACUCCAGCAUGAGCUACCCAUUCCUGUUCCAAGUACUUUAUUUCAUAGUACACAUGUAUAUAGGGAUGGUAAAAACCCUAAUGGUGCAGGUUUAUGUUACAUUAUUUUCUAAUAGCUUUAGGUGUGAGUUUAUAUCUAAAUCCAAUGGACACACCUACA
Molecule: RNA transcript, 1642 nt
Organism: Phragmites australis (common reed)
Lineage: Eukaryota; Viridiplantae; Streptophyta; Magnoliopsida; Poales; Poaceae
Gene name: GDSL esterase/lipase At5g45910-like
Exons: 6
Source: RefSeq, a predicted model, not a curated record